This 1081-nucleotide long non-coding RNA is filed under the name Struthio camelus australis. Its description in RNAcentral is "lncRNA (ENSSCUG00000000444.1)". Lineage: Eukaryota; Metazoa; Chordata; Aves; Struthioniformes; Struthionidae. The record is from RNAcentral.
GAUGUGUUUCUUCAUGAAAGAGGUCUUAUAGCUAUGGCUGGAUAGAAACAUUAGUAUGGGUCAUACUUCUUAGACGCCUGUGCAAAAAGAGAUGGGAAGGUUUGGCAAAAAUAGGCUGGAAAGGAGUGCAGAGGGAAAGAAAGGUGAAUGGAGAAAAAUCUGGAAGAUCUGUUAACACACUGCAGAAAAAUCUGGAAGAUCUGUUAAUACAUUGCAGACCUACGUUUUCAAUCAUGUGGGGAGGAAGAGAAGCAGGGAGGAGAAGAAUACCAGCAUCAGGCAUCCACAGGCUCUGCCCUGCAUUUGAGAAUCCUCUGUCUUGCACAGUCACUUUCCUUUUGCAGUUAAAACACAGCCCGAGCUGCAAGUCACCCACCAGCUGCACAAGGCAGGGGACAGAGACCCGGGCUGGAGCUGAAAGGGAGAGCGAGCCGUGGGGGAUGUGGCAGGAGAGAGGCACCAGCGCAAGGCUGAAGUGCCAGCUGAGGAGGUCCCCGUCUGUCCUGGCGCCUUCCUAAACUCCCUGUCCAACACUCCCAAGCAUGGCAUCAGCUAUAAUAGCGGCUACCACUGAGGGCAGGAGGACUGUCAUCAGCACAACAGAACUCAUAACCAGAUUUUAAACCACAUUUUUCCUCCCAUAUUAAUUAAUUUUUGGGCUUCUGAAGAAAAAUAACAGGAAUAAUGUUAAAAAUGGUUUACAAUACUUAAACAUUGCAGUUGGAUGUACAGUAGGUGUGCAGAAAUACUAGUGGUAUGUACAAAUUAUUUCUUUAAAGACUGUGAUCUAACAUUUUGAAGUGAGAAAGAAUUAAAUCGUUUACUUUCUUGCAGAACGUGCUUGUCUUGUAAGCCCUUUACACAGGGUUAGUUGUUUUGUUAGUGUUUAUAUGAGGUGAUGAGAUUGUGCCUGAAGCCACUAUCAAAAUACAGAUCUCGAAGCUGUUAUUCCAGAGCAAAAAUUUGAUUACACAACCCUUCCUCAUGAAAACAUUACUACAGAUUUCAAUAUGUAAGUGUUGAAGUAUCAAGAAGUAUUUACAGGAGGGAAAUAUUGAGAAUAAACAACAAAAUAUGAACA